GUGGGGAAUAUUGGGCAAUGGGGGAAACCCUGACCCAGCGACGCCGCGUGAGGGAAGAAGGCCUUAGGGUCGUAAACCUCUGUUGUGUGGGAAGAAGAGCGUGACGGUACCACACGAGGAAGUCCCGGCUAACUACGUGCCAGCAGCCGCGGUAAUACGUAGGGGACGAGCGUUGUCCGGAUUUACUGGGCGUAAAGGGCGCGUAGGCGGUCAUUUAAGUCAGCUGUGAAAUGGUCCGGCUCAACCGGAUCAUGCGGUUGAAACUGGAUGACUGGAGUGCUGGAGAGGCAAGUGGAAUUCCCAGUGUAGCGGUGAAAUGCGUAGAUAUUGGGAAGAACACCGGUGGCGAAGGCGACUUGCUGGCCAGCAACUGACGCUGAGGCGCGAAAGCCAGGGGAGCAAACGGGAUUAGAAACCCGUGUAGUCC
This 427-nucleotide ribosomal RNA is filed under the name uncultured bacterium. Its description in RNAcentral is "partial 16S ribosomal RNA". It matches the Rfam family "Bacterial small subunit ribosomal RNA", at positions 354 to 796 of the family's 1533-position model. The record is from RNAcentral.